GGUUAGACGAAGAAUCCAUAUAGAAUGAAUGUUUACAUUAGUUAACGUUCAAUUUUUGAAGUUUCUCUAGCUUUUUUGUUGGGUGAAAUCAGAAUAAGAAGCUCUUUCUUCUUUAAAAAUUAGUAGGAACUAAAAAACUUUGAUUUAAAACCAGGAUUAGAUACCCUGUUAUUCUCAGUUAUUCUUAAACAGGGUAGUAAAAGUUGUUCUUCAAACCCAAAGAUUUUGGCGGCACUUUAUCCAAAUAGAGGAGCUUGUCCCUUAAUCGAUAGUCCUCGUUUUAUCUUUCCUUCAUUUGUAAAGCUUGUAUACCGCCGUUGUCAGAUUACUUUUAGAGAAUGUUUUCAAGUUAAAAGACUUUAUAACUUCAGGUCAAGGUGCAGUUUAUAUGGGGGUGGAGGUGAGCUACAGUUUUCUUUAGAAAAUAUGGAUUUUAAGCUUUGAAGCUAGCUGAAGGUGGAUUUACUAGUAAAGUAAUUUAAGUAAAAUUACUUGAAUAAGGCAAUAAAGUGUGUACAUAUCGCCCGUC
Molecule: ribosomal RNA, 529 nt
Filed under: Daphnia galeata
Lineage: Eukaryota; Metazoa; Arthropoda; Branchiopoda; Diplostraca; Daphniidae
Description: partial 12S ribosomal RNA
Rfam family: Microsporidia small subunit ribosomal RNA (bases 192-529)
Source: RNAcentral